This 204-nucleotide long non-coding RNA is filed under the name Elaeis guineensis (African oil palm). RNAcentral describes it as "long non-coding RNA (EGUI_LNC010740)". Lineage: Eukaryota; Viridiplantae; Streptophyta; Magnoliopsida; Arecales; Arecaceae. The record is from RNAcentral.
UUCGCCCAUCUCUCUACCAUUAAGACCUACCGCCGCAUGCCGCCUCCUUCAUCCUCCUCUUCGCUUCUUGCCUCCCCAUCGCUGCACGCCUCCCCCUUCAUCCUCCACCACCGAUGCACACCCUCAAUAUCCUCCUCCGUUAAACCUCCUCUCCCAUCCUGUUCCCUCUCUUUUUCCUCCGCAUUUGGGAACGACCCCGUAGCC